AGAGUUUGAUCCUGGCUCAGAUUGAACGCUGGCGGAAUGCUUUACACAUGCAAGUCGAACGGCAGCACGGGGGCAACCCUGGUGGCGAGUGGCGAACGGGUGAGUAAUACAUCGGAACGUGCCCAGUCGUGGGGGAUAACGUAGCGAAAGCUACGCUAAUACCGCAUACGAACUGAGGUUGAAAGCGGGGGAUCGCAAGACCUCGCGCGAUUGGAGCGGCCGAUGGCAGAUUAGGUAGUUGGUGGGGUAAAGGCUCACCAAGCCGACGAUCUGUAGCUGGUCUGAGAGGACGACCAGCCACACUGGGACUGAGACACGGCCCAGACUCCUACGGGAGGCAGCAGUGGGGAAUUUUGGACAAUGGGCGCAAGCCUGAUCCAGCCAUUCCGCGUGCAGGAUGAAGGCCCUCGGGUUGUAAACUGCUUUUGUACGGAACGAAAAGGCCUGAGUUAAUACCUCGGGCUCAUGACGGUACCGUAAGAAUAAGCACCGGCUAACUACGUGCCAGCAGCCGCGGUAAUACGUAGGGUGCGAGCGUUAAUCGGAAUUACUGGGCGUAAAGCGUGCGCAGGCGGUGAUGUAAGACAGGUGUGAAAUCCCCGGGCUUAACCUGGGAACUGCAUUUGUGACUGCAUCGCUGGAGUGCGGCAGAGGGGGAUGGAAUUCCGCGUGUAGCAGUGAAAUGCGUAGAUAUGCGGAGGAACACCGAUGGCGAAGGCAACCCCCUGGGCCUGCACUGACGCUCAUGCACGAAAGCGUGGGGAGCAAACAGGAUUAGAUACCCUGGUAGUCCACGCCCUAAACGAUGUCAACUGGUUGUUGGGUCUUCACUGACUCAGUAACGAAGCUAACGCGUGAAGUUGACCGCCUGGGGAGUACGGCCGCAAGGUUGAAACUUAAAGGAAUUGACGG
This 912-nucleotide ribosomal RNA is filed under the name uncultured Comamonadaceae bacterium. Its description in RNAcentral is "SSU rRNA". It matches the Rfam family "Bacterial small subunit ribosomal RNA", at positions 8 to 916 of the family's 1533-position model. The record is from RNAcentral. Lineage: Bacteria; Pseudomonadati; Pseudomonadota; Betaproteobacteria; Burkholderiales; Comamonadaceae.